GACUGCUUUGGUCCUCCAGUGAACAGCAUGCAAGCACUGCCUUUUUCUGGUAGAUUGUUGGAGGUGGACUUAAUAAUAAAAUUCUUUCAGUAUACAUCAGCUUAUCCCAAAAAAGAAAUUAGAAGAUGAUCUUUACUUUUAGUAUAAAAGUGAACAUCACCCGUGCACGAGAAAGAUGAAAAGGAUUGACUAAAAUGUGUUUUACUGUACCCUCUAGUAAACAGAAGCACAAAACCACGGAAUUGUAGUGACACUGUCAUCACUGAAUUUCAGCAGAAGUGUGGCGCAUCCCAGGAUAGAUUCCACCACAGUGGAAGCACAGCCCUCAGGAUUCCCUAGGGUUACUCUUGAACACGUGGAACCCAGGCUUCAGCUCUUCCUGUUGGUUUGGUCGCUGGCUCAACUUAAUUCUCCCAGCAAGCAGUGAUUGUUGUUCAGUAACAGAAGAAAUCGGCCAUACUAGCUGCCUUCCUGACUCCAUGAUUUUGUUCUUUGUGUGUGUGGCUGGCAACAGUUUAAGAAAACUUCCAGAAUUGCUACAGCGUCUUAUGUUCAAGCAACUACCUUGGUGGGAAGGGAUGGACAGCUUGGGUUACCCAGACAAGACCGGACCAAGAGUAAAUAGAAUGGGUUGAGAAGGCUCAGUGACAACACAGGCAGGGAAAUGUAUGGACACAGGCAUGUGGGUAAUAUCACUCACCUGGAAAUGCGGAGACUGACACACAUCCAGAUUUGAGCAGACUCUCACACCUCCUCUCUGUGAUGAAGAUUACCUCACUGUUUUGGGAGCGUCAGCCUCCUAAAAGAAGGAAUUCUCAGCCAGAGAAACAAUGGACAUACCUGACAGUAUAUUGCUGUCAUUUAAAAUUCAUCAGAUGUGCUCUAAGUUGUUUGCUGCAUAAGUAAUUUUACAGGCAGAAUCUUUUUAAAGGUGUGACAGACCCACGUAUUUUUGUAGCAAGCUCCUGUAUUCGCUGCAUCACCUUCAACUUCAUCCCUCGGGAUGUCUGAAGGAAAACUCAUUGCUAAUUGCUAAAUGUCUCUUAAAAUAACAGCCUAUUCUCUGAAAUUGCUACCAAUAAUAAGAAGUUAAAAAAUAGAUCGCUAUCCCUCACUCCACUCGAUUUUUACCUCUUCUGCCCUGCUCAUUAAGGAAAUUAGUCAACAUUGGCCAUCUCAGCUUGAAAAUGGGCACAGGACCAGAACCUGAAUCCUAAUUCAUACUGCGCCAUUCAUUCUUCAGCAACAAGAGUCCUACCUUGUGUCAGAUGAAGUAAAACAUGGGCUGUCUUUUGGAUGUGUCCCAUAGGCUUCUGAAGGCCACAGCAACAGUUAAAUUUUAGCAUACUGUAAAUACCAAGGUUCUUCUUGGUUACAUUUCUUGGUGUACAAUGUUGCAGCAUAUGCUACAUGGAAGUGAAUCUUAAAGGCCAACUUCUGCUCUUGGAUUCAGAUCUCCUUGACUUCAGUGAGAGCGCAGAGCAAGGGAGCCUGCUGACACCUGCAAGCAGUAAGUAACCAUGGCAAAAUCUCCACGGGGAGCUGCAGGAGAGAUCAGCAGACAUUUCCUGCAGGUCUCCUGUGCUUCAUGUGAACUGUCACACUGCACUUGUUCUAACCGUGCUUUGCACAGUGAGCGUGCACGUGUAUGUCUUG
Molecule: long non-coding RNA, 1656 nt
Filed under: Phasianus colchicus (ring-necked pheasant)
Lineage: Eukaryota; Metazoa; Chordata; Aves; Galliformes; Phasianidae
Description: lncRNA (ENSPCLG00000001820.1)
Source: RNAcentral